RNAcentral lists this transfer-messenger RNA (352 nucleotides) under Tateyamaria omphalii. It matches the Rfam family "Alphaproteobacteria transfer-messenger RNA". Rfam says of the family: Bacterial tmRNA, also known as 10Sa RNA or SsrA, is named for its dual tRNA and mRNA-like properties. Its role is to liberate the mRNA from a stalled ribosome. Lineage: Bacteria; Pseudomonadati; Pseudomonadota; Alphaproteobacteria; Rhodobacterales; Roseobacteraceae. The record is from RNAcentral.
CAGAUUGCAAAAGGCGAACCACCCGCAUAUGUAGACAGUGUCUUUCGGGACUAUGGACAUAAACGCGCUCGUAAUAAACGGAUCGGACCCGGGGGCGGUACCCGGCGGCUCCACCAAAUAUCCUUUCGUUUGGGGGAUCAUGGGGCCGAAACAGGAUCGACGGACGUCUAAAGGGGUUAGCUUUGUCUCGGCUGUCUGCCACCGUUACCGGCGAAAACAGUACAAUUGCAAACGACAAUCGUGCUCCGGUUGCUAUGGCUGCGUAAGCAGUCCUAGUCGAACCGACUUUAAGCCCUUGCGCCUAGCCGCGUAAGGCGGGGUUCGCAGGCACCUGGCAACAGAAGCCUGCACU